UUUUUAAUGUUAGGAAAGAGGGAAAGAAUGCAAGUAACCGAAAAUAUCAACGAAAGAAGCGUGGAGAAAGCAGUCUCACGUCGUAUGUGUCCAAUAAAAAAGAACAAGGCCUACUCCCACUAUUUCCUAUUCAAGAGUACAACUCGGAUUCUGACUGGGAGGAUGACGUCCCACUUCAAUUUAGGAAGGACAGAAAGAAGAUUGAUGACGAAGAGAGAAAAAAUUAUGCAAAAGACAACGCACAAUACAAUGCUAGUUUCUUUUGUGCAUAUGUUCCUGAGAAACUGGAUAUUGGACCAGAGGCGACAUACGCAAAAAGAAACAAAGAAUUGAAGAGGUUGAAGAAGAAAAUUAGUGAGAAAGAGAAAGUUAAAUAUACUUUCUCUGUGUAUUUUGGAACAGCGACGGCAAAACGAGGGAAACGCACGUGCGGUUAUCUCGACGGCUCCUCACCUGGCACAUCCCAGCUCGUCAAAUUGAUGAAAGAUGGACAAAUUUGUUGGCGUAAGGAUUUCACUUUCUCCGGAAAAACUGCAGAAAAUAACAGGGAUGAUGCUAUGGAUUGGCAGCACUUUUAUAAGCAUGUCAAUCUAGAGAAACAGUUCGUGCCACUAGAUGAGGAGAAAGUCGUCUUUGACAUUCUAAAUGCAGGACUGCAAAGAAAGAAUUCCUACAAGCGGAUAUUGAGUGAUGCAGCGAAAGAGAAAGCAAAACGG
This is a long non-coding RNA of Folsomia candida, 716 nucleotides long. RefSeq lists it as uncharacterized. The record is from RefSeq and is a predicted model, not a curated record. Lineage: Eukaryota; Metazoa; Arthropoda; Collembola; Entomobryomorpha; Isotomidae. The transcript is spliced from 3 exons.